RNAcentral lists this transfer RNA (75 nucleotides) under Erysipelotrichaceae bacterium. RNAcentral describes it as "tRNA-Arg". It matches the Rfam family "tRNA". From Rfam's summary of the family: Transfer RNA (tRNA) molecules are approximately 80 nucleotides in length. Their secondary structure includes four short double-helical elements and three loops (D, anti-codon, and T loops). Further hydrogen bonds mediate the characteristic L-shaped molecular structure. tRNAs have two regions of fundamental functional importance: the anti-codon, which is responsible for specific mRNA codon recognition, and the 3' end, to which the tRNAs corresponding amino acid is attached (by aminoacyl-tRNA synthetases). tRNAs cope with the degeneracy of the genetic code in two manners: having more than one tRNA (with a specific anti-codon) for a particular amino acid; and 'wobble' base-pairing, i.e. permitting non-standard base-pairing at the 3rd anti-codon position. Lineage: Bacteria; Bacillati; Bacillota; Erysipelotrichia; Erysipelotrichales; Erysipelotrichaceae. The record is from RNAcentral.
UCCUCGUUAGUUAAAUGGAUAUAACGGACCCCUCCUAAGGGUCAAUUACAAGUUCGAUUCUUGUACGGGGAGCCA